GAGGAGAGAGCUCGGUCUCGGUUCUGCCGUGUACUGAGCGCCUCGAAUCUUUUUUCUGGGGAAACAGGGUGUCCUUUACUGGGUGCUCUGGGGAACCAGGACGAUUACCUUGAGAAAAAUAGAGUGUUCAAAGCAGGCGAUUGCUUGAAUACGUUAGCAUGGAAUAAUGGAAUAGGGCUGCUGCCCCAUUUUGUUGGUUUCUGGGACCGUAGCA
This 214-nucleotide ribosomal RNA is filed under the name uncultured fungus. Its description in RNAcentral is "partial small subunit ribosomal RNA". The stretch from base 87 to 214 matches the Rfam family "Eukaryotic small subunit ribosomal RNA", at positions 734 to 864 of the family's 1831-position model. Lineage: Eukaryota; Fungi. The record is from RNAcentral.